Cinara cedri is the source of this 533-nucleotide non-coding RNA. The record is from the annotation of a GenBank genome assembly. NCBI's taxonomy places the organism in Eukaryota, Metazoa, Arthropoda, Insecta, Hemiptera, Aphididae.
UUAUGUUGUCUUGAUUGGUAUACCACAUAAUACGGAUGAUAAGAGCUAAUUUAUUAAAGUCGUAAUUUGGAGUAAAGAACGAGAUGAGGGAUGACGUAUACCUACGAUGUCAAAAAAAAUAUUAUCACUAACUUUUUUCAAUUUUCACUUUCUAUAAUGUAAUACCUCAAACCGCAAAAAAUAAAAUUAUAUUAACCAAAACUGCUUUUCCUUUUCUUUUGUGUAUGUGUACAAAUUGAAAUAAAAUAACACCUAGCAAUACACGCAAAAAUAAAAAGAGCCGGUACUGGUGUCGGGUACGGCCACUGUUGUAGGUUAGAAGUGAGGAAGGUAGGAUAUAUAAGAUUAUUUCAUUUAUAUCUGUAAGCAACUUAAAUACACUUAUAGUAUUUAAAUAAUUUGAAGUGUCAUAAUUUGUUUUAAUCUUACCUUCCUACGUUUUUCCCCGAUUAUUAUGAAAACUAAUUCGAAAAUCAAAGAACGACCUGCAUUAUUAGAAAACAAGAUUAAUAAUUCAACAAAAAAGAUUUCUU